GACGAACGCUGGCGGCGUGCUUAACACAUGCAAGUCGAACGGAAAGGCCCUGCUUCUGUGGGGUGCUCGAGUGGCGAACGGGUGAGUAACACGUGAGUAACCUGCCCUUGACUUUGGGAUAACUUCAGGAAACUGGGGCUAAUACCGGAUAGGAGCUCCUGCUGCAUGUUGUGGGUUGGAAAGUUUCGGCGGUUGGGGCUGGACUCGCGGCUUAUCAGCUUGUUGGUGGGGUAGUGGCUUACCAAGGCUUUGACGGGUAGCCGGCCUGAGAGGGUGACCGGCCACAUUGGGACUGAGAUACGGCCCAGACUCCUACGGGAGGCAGCAGUGGGGAAUAUUGCACAAUGGGCGGAAGCCUGAUGCAGCAACGCCGCGUGCGGGAUGACGGCCUUCGGGUUGUAAACCGCUUUCGCCUGUGACGAAGCGUGAGUGACGGUAAUGGGUAAAGAAGCACCGGCUAACUACGUG
Molecule: ribosomal RNA, 468 nt
Filed under: uncultured bacterium
Lineage: Bacteria
Description: partial 16S ribosomal RNA
Rfam family: Bacterial small subunit ribosomal RNA
Source: RNAcentral